RNAcentral lists this ribosomal RNA (489 nucleotides) under uncultured Saprospiraceae bacterium. RNAcentral's name for it is "bacterial SSU rRNA". It matches the Rfam family "Bacterial small subunit ribosomal RNA", at positions 28 to 505 of the family's 1533-position model. The record is from RNAcentral. Lineage: Bacteria; Pseudomonadati; Bacteroidota; Saprospiria; Saprospirales; Saprospiraceae.
GAUGAACGCUAGCGGGAGGCUUAAUACAUGCAAGUCGAACGGUAACAGAGAAUCUUUUCGGAGAAUCUGCUGACGAGUGGCGCACGGGUGAGUAACGCGUACACAAUCUACCUAUCACAGGGGGAUAGCCUCGGGAAACUGAGAAUAAUACCCCAUAGUAUUUAUUAAUCGCAUGAUUUGAUAAAUUAAAGUUCCGGCGGUGAUAGAUGAGUGUGCGUUAGAUUAGCUAGUUGGUAAGGUAACGGCUUACCAAGGCGACGAUCUAUAGGGGGCGUGAGAGCGUGAUCCCCCACACGGGUACUGAGACACGGACCCGACUCCUACGGGAGGCAGCAGUAAGGAAUAUUGGACAAUGGGCGAAAGCCUGAUCCAGCCAUCCCGCGUGCAGGAAGACGGCCCUCUGGGUUGUAAACUGCUUUUGUAUAGGACGAAACGCCUUCAUUUAUGAGGGUCUGACGGUACUAUAAGAAUAAGCAUCGGCUAACUCCG